GAUGAACGCUGGCGGCGUGCCUAAUACAUGCAAGUCGAGCGAAUGGAUUAAGAGCUUGCUCUUAUGAAGUUAGCGGCGGACGGGUGAGUAACACGUGGGUAACCUGCCCAUAAGACUGGGAUAACUCCGGGAAACCGGGGCUAAUACCGGAUAACAUUUUGAACCGCAUGGUUCGAAAUUGAAAGGCGGCUUCGGCUGUCACUUAUGGAUGGACCCGCGUCGCAUUAGCUAGUCGGUGAGGUAACGGCUCACCAAGGCAACGAUGCGUAGCCGACCUGAGAGGGUGAUCGGCCACACUGGGACUGAGACACGGCCCAGACUCCUACGGGAGGCAGCAGUAGGGAAUCUUCCGCGAUGGACGAAAGUCUGACGGAGCAACGCCGCGUGAGUGAUGAAGGCUUUCGGGUCGUAAAACUCUGUUGCUAGGGAAGAACAAGUGCUAGUUGAAUAAGCUGGCACCUUGACGGUACCUAACCAGAAAGCCACGGCUAACUACGUGCCAGCCGCCGCCGUAA
Molecule: ribosomal RNA, 515 nt
Filed under: uncultured bacterium
Lineage: Bacteria
Description: partial 16S ribosomal RNA
Rfam family: Bacterial small subunit ribosomal RNA
Source: RNAcentral